UGCCAGCAGCCGCGGUAAUACGGAGGGGGCUAGCGUUGUUCGGAAUAUACUGGGCUUAAAGGGUGCGUAGGUGGUAGGGCAAGUUUGAUGUGAAAGCUCCGAGCCCAACUCGGAAAAUGCAUUGAAAACUGCCCAACUAGAGGAUUGGAGGGGGAACUGGAAUUCUCGGUGUAGCGGUGAAAUGCGUAGAUAUCGAGAGGAACACCAGUGGCGAAGGCGAGUUCUUGGACAAAUCCUGACACUGAGGCACGAAAGCUAGGGUAGCAAACAGGAUUAGAUA
Molecule: ribosomal RNA, 280 nt
Filed under: uncultured bacterium
Lineage: Bacteria
Description: partial 16S ribosomal RNA
Rfam family: Bacterial small subunit ribosomal RNA
Source: RNAcentral